CGUCAGCUCGUGUCGUGAGAUGUUGGGUUAAGUCCCGCAACGAGCGCAACCCUUGUCUUUAGUUGCCAUCAUUAAGUUGGGCACUCUAAAGAGACUGCCGGUGACAAACCGGAGGAAGGUGGGGAUGACGUCAAGUCAUCAUGCCCCUUAUGACCUGGGCUACACACGUGCUACAAUGGGCAGUACAACGAGAAGCGAACCCGCGAGGGUAAGCGGAUCUCUUAAAGCUGUUCUCAGUUCGGACUGCAGGCUGCAACUCGCCUGCACGAAGCUGGAAUCGCUAGUAAUCGCGGAUCAGCACGCCGCGGUGAAUACGUUCCCGGGCCUUGUACACACCGCCCGUCACACCAUGGAAGUCUGCAAUGCCCAAAGUCGGUGGGAUAACCUUUAUAGGAGUCAGCCGCCUAAGGCAGGGCAGAUGACUGGGGUGAAGUCGUAACAAGGUAGCCGUAGGAGAACCUGCGGCUGGAUCACCUCCUUUCUAAGGAA
RNAcentral lists this ribosomal RNA (489 nucleotides) under Lactobacillus delbrueckii subsp. bulgaricus. RNAcentral describes it as "bacterial SSU rRNA". It matches the Rfam family "Bacterial small subunit ribosomal RNA", at positions 1053 to 1533 of the family's 1533-position model. The record is from RNAcentral. Lineage: Bacteria; Bacillati; Bacillota; Bacilli; Lactobacillales; Lactobacillaceae.